Molecule: ribosomal RNA, 246 nt
Filed under: uncultured bacterium
Lineage: Bacteria
Description: partial 16S ribosomal RNA
Rfam family: Bacterial small subunit ribosomal RNA
Source: RNAcentral
CGAGCGGCCGUAGCAAUACGGCAGCGGCAGACGGGAGAGUAACACGUGGGAACGCGCCCUUUCGGUUCGGGAUAACCCAGGGAAACUUGGGCUAAUACCGGAUACGCCCUUACGGGGAAAGAUUUAUUGCCGAAGGAACGGCCCGCGUCCGAUUAGCUAGUUGGUGAGGUAAUGGCUCACCAAGGCGACGAUCGGUAGCUGGUCCGAGAGGAUGACCAGCCUCACUGGGACUGAGACACGGCCCAG